This 429-nucleotide ribosomal RNA is filed under the name bacterium. RNAcentral describes it as "partial 16S ribosomal RNA". It matches the Rfam family "Bacterial small subunit ribosomal RNA", at positions 355 to 776 of the family's 1533-position model. The record is from RNAcentral.
UAGGGAAUCUUCGGCAAUGGGGGCAACCCUGACCGAGCAACGCCGCGUGAGUGAAGAAGGUUUUCGGAUCGUAAAGCUCUGUUGUAAGAGAAGAACGUGUGUGAGAGUGGAAAGUUCACACAGUGACGGUAACUUACCAGAAAGGGACGGCUAACUACGUGCCAGCAGCCGCGGUAAUACGUAGGUCCCGAGCGUUGUCCGGAUUUAUUGGGCGUAAAGCGAGCGCAGGCGGUUUAAUAAGUCUGAAGUUAAAGGCAGUGGCUUAACCAUUGUUCGCUUUGGAAACUGUUAGGCUGGAGUGCAGAAGGGGAGAGUGGAAUUCCAUGUGUAGCGGUGAAAUGCGUAGAUAUAUGGAGGAACACCGGUGGCGGAAGCGGCUCUCUGGUCUGUAGCUGACGCUGAGGCUCGAAAGCGUGGGGGGCAAACAGG